This 497-nucleotide ribosomal RNA is filed under the name uncultured bacterium. RNAcentral describes it as "partial 16S ribosomal RNA". It matches the Rfam family "Bacterial small subunit ribosomal RNA", at positions 28 to 507 of the family's 1533-position model. The record is from RNAcentral.
GAUGAACGCUGGCGGCGUGCCUAAUACAUGCAAGUCGAGCGAACAGACGAGGAGCUUGCUUCUCUGACGUUAGCGGCGGACGGGUGAGUAACACGUGGAUAACCUACCUAUAAGACUGGGAUAACUUCGGGAAACCGGAGCUAAUACCGGAUAAUAUUUUGAACCGCAUGGUUCAAUAGUGAAAGACGGUUUUGCUGUCACUUAUAGAUGGAUCCGCGCCGCAUUAGCUAGUUGGUAAGGUAACGGCUUACCAAGGCAACGAUGCGUAGCCGACCUGAGAGGGUGAUCGGCCACACUGGAACUGAGACACGGUCCAGACUCCUACGGGAGGCAGCAGUAGGGAAUCUUCCGCAAUGGGCGAAAGCCUGACGGAGCAACGCCGCGUGAGUGAUGAAGGUCUUCGGAUCGUAAAACUCUGUUAUUAGGGAAGAACAAAUGUGUAAGUAACUGUGCACGUCUUGACGGUACCUAAUCAGAAAGCCACGGCUAACUACGUG